CCGGCGCACGGGUGAGUAACGCGUGUGCAACCUGCCCGGCACAGUGGGAUAAUCCGGAGAAAUCCGGUCUAAUACCGCAUGACGCGGGAAGGGCGCAUGCCUUUUCCGCCAAAGGAGGCGUCCGGUGCCGGCUGGGCACGCGUGACAUUAGCUAGUUGGCGGGGCGACGGCCCACCAAGGCGACGAUGUCUAGGGGUUCUGAGAGGAAGGUCCCCCACACUGGUACUGAGACACGGACCAGACUCCUACGGAAGGCAGCAG
This 261-nucleotide ribosomal RNA is filed under the name uncultured bacterium. Its description in RNAcentral is "partial 16S ribosomal RNA". It matches the Rfam family "Bacterial small subunit ribosomal RNA", at positions 95 to 354 of the family's 1533-position model. The record is from RNAcentral.